Long non-coding RNA from Mastomys coucha (southern multimammate mouse), 218 nucleotides. RefSeq lists it as uncharacterized. Lineage: Eukaryota; Metazoa; Chordata; Mammalia; Rodentia; Muridae. The record is from RefSeq and is a predicted model, not a curated record. The transcript is spliced from 3 exons.
UGUGAGGCCCCCAACACACAUACAGUAGAGGACUGCCAGGUUCCUCUUCAUUGGAAAGCUGAGCUUUCCAAUUGAUUGCAGAGCUGACCUACUCUGGAGCAUAGAAAUACCACAUGCAUCCAGGAAUAGAAAGGGCCAGGAGUUUCCUUUUUCCUAUUUGCAGAAAAAAACUAAGUAACAAAAAGGAACAGUUAGAGACUGAAUUGGAUUAUUUCUUU